ACCGCGCUCUCUGUUGUUGUUAUGUCGGUGUGCUGCCUUAACACAAACGGUUAGACACGUUUCUAAGAGAAAAUUUUAGUUUUUGAAUCAGUUCAGUAAACACCUGUAAUAUUCUCAUCCUAACAAUCGUCACUGUGUUUUGAAGCAAGCAAGAAUAUCUGGAGGAGUUUAUCAUCUGAACUGAGAUCUGCUGCUGUGAAGAUGCAGUUUGUGAAAGAAGAGAGAGAAGAGAACACGAGUGAACCAGACACCAGCACAAUAAAACACGAGGAACCAGAAACCCGGAGCAUAAAACUCGAGGAACCAGAAAUAAAACACGAGGAACCAGAAACAUGGAGAAUAAAACACGAGGAACCAGAAACCCGGAGAAUAAAACUCGAGGAACCACAAACCUGGAGAAUAAAACACGAGGAACCAGAAACCCGGAGAAUAAAAGACGAGGAACCAGAAAUAAAACACGAGGAACCAGAAACAUGGAGAAUAAAACACGAGGAACCAGAAACCUGGAGAAUAAAAGACGAGGAACCAGAAAUAAAACCAGAAACGUGGAGAAUAAAACACGAGGAACCAGAAACAUGGAGAAUAAAACACGAGGAACCAAAAACCUGCAGAAUAAAUCACGAGGAACAAGGAGAGUUCAUUGAAGAAAAAGAGGAAAAUGAAGAAUCAAGUCCUCAAGAGAAGCAGCAUGCAUGUGAUCAAUGCGAUAAAAUGUUUUUAUGGGCUUCACUUCUGAAGAAACACUUGAAAGUUCAUGCAAAGAAGAAACCACAUUCAUGUCAUUUGUGUGGUAAGAGUUUUUUGCAUGUACAAAGUUUAAAAGAACAUCAGAAAAUACAUACUGAUGUGAGAGAGUACGUGUGCUUUGAGUGUGAAAAGACUUUUAGUUCAGUGAGCAGUUUAAAACUACACGAGAGGAUUCACAUUGGAGAGAAACUUUAUAAGUGUUUACACUGUGACAAGAGAUUCAGUCGUUCAGCAAAUCUGAAAACACAUGAGAGGAUUCACACUGGAGAGAAACCUUACAAGUGUUCACGCUGUGACAAGAGAUUCAGUGUGUCAUCAAGUCUGAAAACACAUGAGAGGAUCCACACUGGAGAGAAACCUUACAAGUGUUCACACUGUGACAAGAGAUUCAGUCGUUCACUAAAUCACAAAAAACAUGAGAGGAUUCACACUGGAGAGAAACCUUACAAGUGUUCACACUGUGACGAGAGAUUCAUUCGUCGAGCAGAUCGGAAAACGCAUGAGAUGAUGCACACUGGAGAGAAACCUUAUAAGUGUUCACACUGUAACAAGAGAUUCAUUCGUCGAGCAUAUCGGAAAACGCAUGAGAUGAUCCACACUGGAGAGAAACCUUAUAAGUGUUCACACUGUGACAAGAGAUUCAGUAAUUCAUCAACUCUGAAAAAACAUGUGAGGAUCCACACUGGAGAGAAACCUUAUAAGUGUUCACACUGUGACAAGAGAUUCAGUCGGUUAACACAUCUGAAAACACAUGAGAGGAUUCACACUGGAGAGAAACCUUACAAGUGUUCACAAUGUGACAAGAGAUUCAGUCAGUCAAUAGAUCUGAAAACACAUGAGAGGAUUCACACUGGAGAGAAACCUUACAAGUGUUCACACUGUGACAAGAGAUUCAGUGUGUCAUCAAAUCUGAUAACACAUGAGAGGAUCCACACUGGAGAGAAACCUUACAAGUGUUCACACUGUGACAAGAGUUUUAUUGUGUCAUCAAAUCUGAUAACACAUGAGAGGAUUCACACUGGAGAGAAACCUUACAAGUGUUCACACUGUGACAAGAGAUUCAGUCAGUCAAUAGAGCUGAAAACACAUGAGAGGAUUCACACUGGAGAGAAACCUUACAAGUGUUCACACUGUGACAAGAGAUUCAGUGUGUCAUCAAGUCUGAAAACCCAUGAGAGGAUCCACACUGGAGAGAAACCUUACAAGUGUUCACACUGUGACAAGAGAUUUAGUGUGUCAUCAAAUCUGAAAACACAUGAGAGGAUCCACACUGGAGAGAAACCUUACAAGUGUUCACAAUGUGACAAGAGAUUCAGUCAGUCAAUAGAGCUGAAAAUACAUGAGAGGAAUCACACUGGAGAGAAACCUUACAAGUGUUCACAAUGUGACCAGAGAUUCAGUCAGUCAAUAGAGCUGAAAAGACAUGAGAGGAUUCACACUGGAUAGAAAGCACAUAACCGCAAUGUACGUGGGAAGCGUACAUUGGCCCAUACAUGCGGAGAUGCAUUUAGAUGUUUAUGUAAAUAUUUUGUUAGGUAUAUGUGUUUCGUCCAGACGGAUCCAGCAUUUUGGGAGAAUGAAUUCACUAUUUCUUUGGGUCCCAGAGUGGAUAAAUCUGAAAAUGACACCUUUGGGUCUUUGUGUUCUGCCAAUCCAUAUAUUUUGUGAAACGAUGUCAUCACCCCACUUCUCUACUAUUGUCAGACACCGCUACAUCAUGUAACACCAACAACAGUGGAGAACUACAUGUUUGUGUUCAUGCUGCAGAAACUACUGAGCCUGAUAUUGGAAAAAAAAACUCACAUUGUCAUUAUUUGUUUUAACGAUGUAUAUUGCAAUAUGGAAAAAAAAAUAAACAGAUGACUUGAACUGC
This is an RNA transcript of Carassius gibelio (silver crucian carp), 2620 nucleotides long. It is a transcript of the gene named zinc finger protein 883-like, with no coding region annotated. NCBI's taxonomy places the organism in Eukaryota, Metazoa, Chordata, Actinopteri, Cypriniformes, Cyprinidae. The record is from RefSeq and is a predicted model, not a curated record. The transcript has 3 exons.